RNAcentral lists this long non-coding RNA (404 nucleotides) under Homo sapiens (human). RNAcentral's name for it is "HSALNT0377911". The record is from RNAcentral. Lineage: Eukaryota; Metazoa; Chordata; Mammalia; Primates; Hominidae.
AUUCUAAGUCUGACUUCCCUAAUGCUCAGAAGAUGGCUAUGUUGAGUCCACAAACUUUUGAAUUCAGAAACAAGAUUGAGUUGAUUUCAGAAGCUCUCCCAGAAGAUCAAGAAAGAACUUUCCAGGAUCUCCAGGAACCUGAAUUGAGUCAUACGCCAAAGUGAGUUUCAUGCUCUUUGGCAAAACAAUCAUUGGCAGGAUAGAUGAAAGUAGCUUAGAAGUGACCAAUAUGUCAAGGUCCCAUGAGAAGACUGAAAAAAAGAGAAGAAAGAGGAAAGAAAAGAAUGACAAGAAAGAGAAAGAAAGAAACCAAUAUGCUCUUUGUUCUUUGCUUUUGCUUCCUCAAGCUUUUCUCUGUCUACAAAGCCAACCUCUCCUGCUCAGCUCAUCAGAACAUUCACUCC